RNAcentral lists this transfer RNA (66 nucleotides) under Epthianura albifrons (white-fronted chat). RNAcentral's name for it is "tRNA-Ser". Lineage: Eukaryota; Metazoa; Chordata; Aves; Passeriformes; Meliphagidae. The record is from RNAcentral.
GAGGGGAAGGUCAAACCAGCAAGAACUGCUAACUCUUGUCCCUGAGAAUAAAACCUCAGUCCCCUU